This 1024-nucleotide ribosomal RNA is filed under the name uncultured fungus. RNAcentral describes it as "eukaryotic LSU rRNA". The stretch from base 342 to 1024 matches the Rfam family "Eukaryotic large subunit ribosomal RNA", at positions 1 to 664 of the family's 3401-position model. The record is from RNAcentral. Lineage: Eukaryota; Fungi.
AUCGAUGAAGAACGCAGCGAAAUGCGAUAAGUAAUGUGAAUUGCAGAAUUCAGUGAAUCAUCGAAUCUUUGAACGCACCUUGCGCCCUUUGGUAUUCCGAAGGGCAUGCCUGUUUGAGUGUCAUUAAAUUAUCAACCUUGCUCGCUUUUAUUAGCUUGAGUUAGGCUUGGAUGUGAGGGUUUUGCUGGCUUCCUUCAGUGGAUGGUCUGCUCCCUUUGAAUGCAUUAGCGGGAUCUCUUGUGGACCGUCACUUGGUGUGAUAAUUAUCUAUGCCUUGAGACUUUGAAACAAACUUAUGAGAAUCUGCUUAUAACCGUCCUCACGGACAACUUUUGACAAUUUGACCUCAAAUCAGGUAGGACUACCCGCUGAACUUAAGCAUAUCAAUAAGCGGAGGAAAAGAAACUAACAAGGAUUCCCCUAGUAACUGCGAGUGAAGCGGGAAAAGCUCAAAUUUAAAAUCUGGCGGUCCUUGUGGCCGUCCGAGUUGUAAUUUAGAGAAGCGUUAUCCGCGCUGGACCGUACACAAGUCUCCUGGAAUGGAGCGUCAUAGAGGGUGAGAAUCCCGUCUUUGGUACGGACUGCCAGGGCAUUGUGAUGCGCUCUCAAAGAGUCGAGUUGUUUGGGAAUGCAGCUCAAAAUGGGUGGUAAAUUCCAUCUAAAGCUAAAUAUUGAGGAGAGACCGAUAGCGAACAAGUACCGUGAGGGAAAGAUGAAAAGAACUUUGGAAAGAGAGUUAAACAGUACGUGAAAUUGCUGAAAGGGAAACGCUUGAAGUCAGUCGCGUCGUUCAGGACUCAGCCUUGCUUUUGCUUGGUGUACUUCUUGUUCGACGGGUCAACAUCAAUUUUGGUCGGUGGAUAAAGGCUUGGAGAAUGUGGCAUCCUCGGAUGUGUUAUAGCUCUAGGUCGCAUACAUCGGCUGGGAUUGAGGAACUCAGCACGCCGCAAGGCCGGGUACUUGUACCACGUACGUGCUUAGGAUGUUGGCAUAAUGGCUUUAAUCGACCCGUCUUGAAACACGG